UCAGCACUUCUCCCCUUUUUUAGUCAAAAUUGACCAAAGGUGACAUAUCAGACAAAAUAAAUGUUCAUUAGCCUAGCAGAGAAAGUUAGAUCAGAUGUUAUAACACUAAGCUUGUUAAAACAUAGUAUUCAGGAAGUACAAACCAUCAUUAUACACAACUGUGAUAGCUGAGAUAAUGAACAAAUCCAAGGAACUCUUUAAGAGCCCUAAAUAUUACAAAACAUGCAUCAAUGAGGACUUCCACACAUUACACAAUUGCCAAAAAAAAACAAAAAAAC
RNAcentral lists this long non-coding RNA (278 nucleotides) under Lathyrus oleraceus (garden pea). Its description in RNAcentral is "Pisum sativum (pea) long non-coding RNA (PSAT_LNC027935)". Lineage: Eukaryota; Viridiplantae; Streptophyta; Magnoliopsida; Fabales; Fabaceae. The record is from RNAcentral.